RNAcentral lists this long non-coding RNA (458 nucleotides) under Capra hircus (goat). Its description in RNAcentral is "lncRNA (ENSCHIG00000001494.1)". Lineage: Eukaryota; Metazoa; Chordata; Mammalia; Artiodactyla; Bovidae. The record is from RNAcentral.
AACUGUCAGUGAGUGACCGUUAGUGGUCCUGCUCAGUCAAUGGUUGGCAUCACAUUGGACUCUGCCCCAGGAGCUGCCCUGUCCUGCCUGCUGCCCGCCUGGUACCAUAGAGUGUUGUUGCUGUGUGGCUGGAGCGGGAGUGGUCAUGUCCUAGGACUUGCAGGCAUACUUAAGAUGGACUCAUGGCCAAGUGAGGGUUUUUGGCUUCUCGACAGGGGAACAGAAUUCAAGAGCCUGCCAAGGAAAAGUGAAGUUCUUUGGAAGGAAACUCCAGUACUUUGGCCAUGCGAAGAGUUGACUCAUUGGAAAAGACUCUGACGCUGGGAGGGAUUGGGGGCAGGAGGAGAAGGGGACGACAGAGGAUGAGAUGGCUGGAUGGCAUCACCGACUCAAUGGAGGUGAGUUUGGGUGAACUCUGGGAGUUGGUGAUGGACAGGGAGGCCUGGCGUGCUGCAAUU